UACGGGGGGGGCAAGCGUUGUUCGGAAUUACUGGGCGUAAAGGGCUCGUAGGCGGCCAACUAAGUCAGACGUGAAAUCCCUCGGCUUAACCGGGGAACUGCGUCUGAUACUGGGUGGCUUGAGUUUGGGAGAGGGAUGCGGAAUUCCAGGUGUGGCGGUGAAAUGCGUAGAUAUCUGGAGGAACACCGGUGGCGAAGGCGGCAUCCUGGACCAACACUGACGCUGAGUGAGCGAAAGCCAGGGGAGCAAACGGG
RNAcentral lists this ribosomal RNA (254 nucleotides) under uncultured bacterium. RNAcentral describes it as "partial 16S ribosomal RNA". It matches the Rfam family "Bacterial small subunit ribosomal RNA", at positions 524 to 776 of the family's 1533-position model. The record is from RNAcentral.